GGAUGUAGCUCAGAGGUAGAGUGCUUGCCAAGCAUGCCUGAGGCCUUGGGUUCUAUCCCCAGCACCA
RNAcentral lists this transfer RNA (67 nucleotides) under Marmota monax (woodchuck). RNAcentral's name for it is "tRNA.Ala". Lineage: Eukaryota; Metazoa; Chordata; Mammalia; Rodentia; Sciuridae. The record is from RNAcentral.